UUUACUUGAUUUCUUCGGAAUGACGGCAUUUAAUCGAGUGGCGGACGGGUGAGUAACGCGUGGGUAACCUGCGCUAUGCAGGGGGAUACCAGUUGGAAACGACUGUUAAUACCGCAUAAGCGCACGGGACCGCAUGGUCCUGUGUGAAAAGCUCCGACGGUAUAGGAUGGACCCGCGUCUGAUUAGCUAGUUGGUGAGGUAACGGCUCACCAAGGCGACGAUCAGUAGCCGACCUGAGAGGGUGACCGGCCACAUUGGGACUGAGAUACGGCCCAGACUCCUACGGGAGGCAGCAGUGGGGAAUAUUGGGCAAUGGGCGAAAGCCUGACCCAGCAACGCCGCGUGAAGGAAGAAGGCCCUCGGGUUGUAAACUUCUUUUAGCAGGGACGAAACAAAUGACGGUACCUGCAGAAAAAGCAACGGCUAACUACGUGCCAGCAGCCGCAGUAAUACGUAGGUUGCAAGCGUUGUCCGGAUUUACUGGGUGUAAAGGGCGUGUAGGCGGAGAUGCAAGUUGGGAGUGAAAUCCCGGGGCUCAACCCCGGAACUGCUUUCAAAACUGUAUCCCUUGAGUAUCGGAGAGGCAAGCGGAAUUCCUAGUGUAGCGGUGAAAUGCGUAGAUAUUAGGAGGAACACCAGUGGCGAAGGCGGCUUGCUGGACGACAACUGACGCUGAGGCGCGAAAGCGUGGGGAGCAAACAGGAUUAGAUACCCCGGUAGUCCUGGCUGUAAACGAUGAAUGCUAGGUGUGCGAGCAGAGAUGUUGGCGUGCCGCAGUUAACGCGAUAAGCAUUCCGCCUGGGGAGUACGGUCGCAAGAUUGAAACUCAAAGGAAUUGACGGGGGCCCGCACAAGCGGUGGAGCACGUGGUUUAAUUCGAUGCAAACCGAAGAACCUUACCUGGGUUUGACAUGUAUGUGGUAGGAGCUGGAAACAGUGACGACUUAGCCGUAAGGUUAAGAGCAUACACAGGUGCUGCAUGGCUGUCGUCAGCUCGUGUCGUGAGAUGUUGGGUUAAGUCCCGCAACGAGCGCAACCCCUGCGGCCAGUUGCCAGCGAGUAAAGUUGGGCACUCUGGCAGGACUGCCAUCGACAAGAUGGAGGAAGGUGGGGACGACGUCAAGUCAUCAUGGCCCUUAUGUCCAGGGCGACACACGUGCUACAAUGGGCGGUACAGAGGGAAGCGACACUCUGAGGUGAAGCGGAUCCCAUAAAGCCGCUCGCAGUUCGGAUUGAAGUCUGC
This 1243-nucleotide ribosomal RNA is filed under the name uncultured bacterium. Its description in RNAcentral is "bacterial SSU rRNA". It matches the Rfam family "Bacterial small subunit ribosomal RNA", at positions 63 to 1308 of the family's 1533-position model. The record is from RNAcentral.